AGGGCGAGGCUCCAACGUUCGGGAGCCUCUUCCCCCGUAUCCCGCCCCUGCGGGUCCUCGCCCGUUUCUCCCCCACGAAUUAAUAGUUCCCUUGUAUUUUAUGAUUGUAAGAAAACUGCUUUCAAAAAGUGCCUGUUCCUUGCAAAACUGAUAGUGCCUUUGAAACAUCCAUGUGUCAACAUCAAGUUUGCUGCUUCAAGAAAGAGAACCAUCAACACAGAUGGUACUGGAAGUGGUCUGAAAUGACAAGCUGAGUUUGGGGACUGGACCACAUACCUCCCUGCAGGC
Suricata suricatta (meerkat) is the source of this 288-nucleotide long non-coding RNA. RefSeq lists it as uncharacterized. The transcript is spliced from 3 exons. The record is from RefSeq and is a predicted model, not a curated record. Lineage: Eukaryota; Metazoa; Chordata; Mammalia; Carnivora; Herpestidae.